AGAGUUUCAUUUUGGCUCAGGAUGAACGCUGGCGGCGUGCUUAACACAUGCAAGUCGAACGGGAAUUACUUUAUUGAAACUUCUGUCGAUUUAAUUUAAUUCUAGUGGCGGACGGGUGAGUAACGCGUGGGUAACCUGCCUUAUACGGGGGGAUAACAGUCAGAAAUGGCUGCUAAUACCGCAUAAGCGCACAGAGCUGCAUGGCUCAGUGUGAAAAACUCCGGUGGUAUGGGAUGGGCCCGCGUCUGAUUAGGCAGUUGGCGGGGUAACGGCCCACCAAACCGACGAUCAGUAGCCGGCCUGAGAGGGCGACCGGCCACAUUGGGACUGAGACACGGCCCAAACUCCUACGGGAGGCAGCAGUGGGGAAUAUUGCACAAUGGGGGAAACCCUGAUGCAGCGACGCCGCGUGAGCGAAGAAGUAUUUCGGUAUGUAAAGCUCUAUCAGCAGGGAAGAUAAUGACGGUACCUGACUAAGAAGCCCCGGCUAACUACGUGCCAGCAGCCGCGGUAAUACGUAGGGGGCAAGCGUUAUCCGGAUUUACUGGGUGUAAAGGGAGCGUAGACGGCACGGCAAGUCUGAUGUGAAAACCCCAGGGCUUAACCCUGGGACUGCAUUGGAAACUGUCUGGGUCCAAGUGCCGGAAAGGUAAACGGAAAUCCCUAAGUGGAACCGGUGAAAUGCGUUAAAUAUUAGGAAAGAACAACCAGUGGUGAAGGCGGCUUUACUGGUCUGUUAUUGACACUGAGGCACGAAAGCGUGGGGGUAGCAAAACAGGAUUAGAUACCCUGGUAGUCCACGCCCUAAACGAUGAGUAUUAAGUAUUGGGCGAAAGCUCAGUGCUGAAGUUAACGCAUUAAAUACUCCGCCUGGGGAGUACGGUCGCAAGACUGAAACUCAAAGGAAUUGACGGGGACUCGCACAAGCGGUGGAGCAUGUGGUUUAAUUCGAUGCAACGCGAAAAACCUUACCAGGUCUUGACAUCCCUAUGACCGAUGCAGAGAUGUAUCUUUCCCUUUCGGGGGACGAAGGAGACAGGUGGUGCAUGGUUGUCGUCAGCUCGUGUCGUGAGAUGUUGGGUUAAGUCCCGCAACGAGCGCAACCCUUGCCUUUAGUUGCCAUCAUUAAGUUGGGCACUCUAGAGGGACUGCCAGGGAUAACCUGGAGGAAGGUGGGGAUGACGUCAAAUCAUCAUGCCCCUUAUGCUUAGGGCUACACACGUGCUACAAUGGGUGGUACAGAGGGCAGCGAAGUCGUGAGGCCAAGCUAAUCCCUUAAAGCCAUUCUCAGUUCGGAUUGUAGGCUGAAACUCGCCUACAUGAAGCUGGAGUUACUAGUAAUCGCAGAUCAGAAUGCUGCGGUGAAUGCGUUCCCGGGUCUUGUACUCACCGCCCGUCA
Molecule: ribosomal RNA, 1399 nt
Filed under: uncultured bacterium
Lineage: Bacteria
Description: 16S ribosomal RNA
Rfam family: Bacterial small subunit ribosomal RNA
Source: RNAcentral